AAUACAUGCAAGUCGAACGGUCUUUCUAUGGAAGCUUGCUCCACUGAGAAGAUAGUGGCGAACGGGUGGAGUAACACGUGGGUAACCUGCCCAUAAGAGGGGGGAUAACAUCCGGAAACGGGUGCUAAUACCGCAUAGUUUUCUUGAUCGCAUGAUCGGGAAAGGAAAGACGGCCUUUGUGCUGUCGCUUAUGGAUGGACCCGCGGCGUAUUAGUUAGUUGGUGAGGUAACGGCUCACCAAGACGAUGAUACGUAGCCGACCUGAGAGGGUGAUCGGCCACAUUGGGACUGAGACACGGCCCAAACUCCUACGGGAGGCAGCAGUAGGGAAUCUUCCGCAAUGGACGAAAGUCUGACGGAGCAACGCCGCGUGAGUGAAGAAAAGGUUUUCGGAUCGUAAAACUCUGUUGUCAGAGAAGAACAAGUUGGAGAGUAACUGCUCCAGCCUUGACGGUAUCUGACCAGAAAGCCACGGCUAACUACGUGCCAGCCGCUGC
Molecule: ribosomal RNA, 497 nt
Filed under: uncultured bacterium
Lineage: Bacteria
Description: bacterial SSU rRNA
Rfam family: Bacterial small subunit ribosomal RNA
Source: RNAcentral